GAUGAAGAACGUAGCGAAAUGCGAUACGUAAUGUGAAUUGCAGAAUUCAGUGAAUCAUCGAAUCUUUGAACGCAUAUUGCGCUCUCUGGUAUUCCGGAGAGCAUGCUUGUUUGAGUAUCAGUAAACACCUCAACUCCCUUUUCUUUUUUGAAAUUGGAGCUGGACUUGAGUGAUCCCAACGCUUUCUUCCAAGAAAGUGGCGGGUUGCUUGAAAUGCAGGUGCAGCUGAACUUUUCUCUGAGCUAUAAGCAUAUCUAUUUAGUCUGCCUAAAAAACAGAUUAUUACCUUUGCUGCAGCUAACAUAAAGGAGACUAGUUCUUGUGCUGACAGAUGCAGGAUUCACAGAGACAGCUUCGGCUGACUUUGUAAACUCGAUCUCAAAUCAAGUAAGACUACCCGCUGAACUUAAGCAUAUCAAUAAGCGGAGGA
This 430-nucleotide unclassified non-coding RNA is filed under the name soil metagenome. RNAcentral's name for it is "partial contains 5.8S ribosomal RNA, internal transcribed spacer 2, and large subunit ribosomal RNA". The stretch from base 1 to 120 matches the Rfam family "5.8S ribosomal RNA", at positions 35 to 154 of the family's 154-position model. The record is from RNAcentral.